CAGCAGGCGCAACUCUCCACCUCAGCACGCGCCGCCACCCGCGGCCGCCUCGGCGCCAGCCCUGGGGUGGCGCCUGAGGGCACUGGGGUCCCGCGGCGCUGCCGGCUCCGCCUCGCUCGCGGCCCGCCGCCGCCUGCGGCGUGAGGUUGCCAGUAGGAGCCCACCGCGCUCAGAGGCCAGACUUGUGCGCAUCUCCGGGUGCCCGCGCGCCGUGCACCUCAGGGACCCCCACUGUUGGAGGGGGGACACGGGGGGUUAAUUAUCCCCGGACAUUUCUAGUGUACAGCAUGAUCCGCGCGAGGGAAGUGCGGCCUGGGACCCCUCGGGGACAGGGUGCCUAAUCCCCUUCUUGAAGGGACACAGACUCAGGUCAGCCUCCGCGUGCCAGAUCUUCGGAGGAGUCUCUAUGCUAACGAGCGUGUUAGCAGUCGGGAUGACUGAUGCAGCCUGGGCCCGGCACCCUUCGCGGCGCCAGGCCGAGGGGAGGCCGGACGUUGGCUUCCCUUUUCACCCCUGAGGAAGUCGGGGCUUUAACCCCGUGCACUGCCAACCUGAGGACCAAAGGAGGGCCACCCAGGUGGGCCUGGCUGCCACUUCCCGGUCUGGUGGCGCCGAAAUGAUGUCAUCUCCACUAGUCUCUCCUUCGCAACUUAAGAUCGUCCUUUGAUUAUUGACCAAAACUGAGGAAACUGAGGCCGAGGGAGGGGGCCCGCUUGCCCAGUGAAGUUUCUCCUGAGAGGCGCCAGAGGAGCUGCCUGGAAACGAGGUGCAUGCCUUUGAAUCUGGACCAGGCCAUGUGACUUCCCUUUACCAACAGAAUGAGGUGGAAGCAACCAUGUGCCAUUUCCAAGCUCAGGCUUCCUGACACCUUGCAUGUCUCCUUUUGUACUCCGUGCUUCUGCCAUUGCCAUGAUCAAGACACCACCCAUGUUGGCCCGGUGGUCCCAAGAGGAAGAAAAGAGACUCAUGAAGAGCCAGAUUGCCUCAGCAAAGGUCCACCAAAACCAUCCCCCAGCUGAACUCAGAUGGGAGACUGGAGGAGGCACACACUACAACCAGAAUCAUCUUCUCAAAUUGCAAACUGGAUCGUGUCUACUCGCCUCCUUCUUCCUCCAAACUCUAAUAGAAUUCUCUGCCCUAGAAAUGAAGACAAAGCCAAGCUCCACUCCACCAUGGACACCCUAUCUCUGCACUUUAUUUUAAGUUUAUUUAUUUAUUUUGAGAGAGAGAAAGGGAGAGCAGGGGAGGGGCAGAGAAAGAGAGAGAGAGAGAGAGAGAGAGAGAGAGAGAGAGA
Long non-coding RNA from Panthera uncia (snow leopard), 1294 nucleotides. RefSeq lists it as uncharacterized. Lineage: Eukaryota; Metazoa; Chordata; Mammalia; Carnivora; Felidae. The record is from RefSeq and is a predicted model, not a curated record. The transcript has 3 exons.